Molecule: unclassified non-coding RNA, 307 nt
Filed under: Hevea brasiliensis (rubber tree)
Lineage: Eukaryota; Viridiplantae; Streptophyta; Magnoliopsida; Malpighiales; Euphorbiaceae
Rfam family: Small nucleolar RNA U19 (bases 121-254)
Source: RNAcentral
GCCAUCGCUAACUCCUCUUUCAUCGCCACGACUCUCUCUUCUCCUUCUUCUUCUUCAUUGAAGCUCUUCUGAUCAUAACUGCCUUUCAGAGUAGCCAUGUGAAUCGUAAUACAAUUUCAUAAUUGGCUUAGUUAGGAGGCAGAGAUCAAACUGUUUGAUCAAUCUAGGGUUGGUCAUUCAUAAUCCAAGGCCUUUUUGAGGGGACAAUCUUGCUAUUCCUCUAUUGAUUGUCCUCCAAGCAGCCUUAGACAUCUAAGCAGAAAAGAAAGAUCUCCAGGUUUAAUUCUUUAUUUAUUUAUUUAUUUAU